GGUCUGGGCAUGGAAGGCCUCAUCCCCUUCCCUGGAGACAGCAUGUUCCUCCGUAACAGUGCAGGGAUGCUUGGCUCUCCCAGGUGUGAGAGCGACCCGCAUCCUCCCCGUGCUCUGAGACACAGUGCCAAACAGGAUCAGCUGUCACCAGUGCCAUCGUCCAGCCUUUAUUCUCUGGAAGGGACUUGCUGGAGAGGCUGACUCCCGCUGUAUGAAGCCUUGCAGACGAGGAGCUGGCUCCAGCCGCUCCUGCCUUUCACACCCUUCCAAUGAACACAGACAAAUAAAUGUCCCCUUGCUGGCUUGCUUUUCCA
This is a long non-coding RNA of Gavialis gangeticus (Gharial), 314 nucleotides long. RefSeq lists it as uncharacterized. The record is from RefSeq and is a predicted model, not a curated record. NCBI's taxonomy places the organism in Eukaryota, Metazoa, Chordata, Crocodylia, Gavialidae. The transcript is spliced from 3 exons.